This 406-nucleotide ribosomal RNA is filed under the name uncultured bacterium. Its description in RNAcentral is "partial 16S ribosomal RNA". It matches the Rfam family "Bacterial small subunit ribosomal RNA", at positions 30 to 526 of the family's 1533-position model. The record is from RNAcentral.
AUUGAACGCUGGCGGCAGGCCUAACACAUGCAAGUCGAGCGAGCGGCGGACGGGUGAGUAAUAUCUGGGAAACUGCCCGCUGGAGGGGGAUCACUACUGGAAACGGUAGCUAAUACCUCAUACCAUCAGAUGUGCCCAUAUGGGAUUAGCUAGUAGGUGGGGUAACGGCUCACCUAGGCGACGCUCCCUAGCUGGUCUGAGAGGAUGACCAGACACACGGGAACUGAGAUACGGUCUAGACUCCGACGGGAGGCACCAGUGGGGAAUAUUGCACAAUGGGCGCAAGCCUGAUGCAGCCAUGCCGCGUGUGUGAAGAAGGCCUUCGGGUUGUAAAGCACUUUCAGCGGGGAGGCGUUACCCGCAGAAGAAGCACCGGCUAACUCCGUGCCAGCAGCCGCGGUAAUUC